GAGAGAGGCUCGCUGCAACAAAGGCCGCUACCCUUUUAGUUUCUUCGGUUGAACUCCGAUGCUCCCUCA
RNAcentral lists this transfer RNA (69 nucleotides) under Trimma cana (candycane pygmy goby). RNAcentral describes it as "tRNA-Ser". Lineage: Eukaryota; Metazoa; Chordata; Actinopteri; Gobiiformes; Gobiidae. The record is from RNAcentral.